RNAcentral lists this ribosomal RNA (440 nucleotides) under uncultured bacterium. RNAcentral's name for it is "partial 16S ribosomal RNA". It matches the Rfam family "Bacterial small subunit ribosomal RNA", at positions 338 to 795 of the family's 1533-position model. The record is from RNAcentral.
CCUACGGGAGGCAGCAGUCGGGAAUAUUGCGCAAUGGGGGAAACCCUGAUGCAGCGACGCCGCGUGCGGGAAGACGGUCUUCUGGAUUGUAAACCACUGUCCCCAGGGACGAAAAUGACGGUACCUGGGGAGGAAGCUCCGGCUAACUACGUGCCAGCAGCCGCGGUAAUACGUAGGGAGCAAGCGUUGUCCGGAAUUACUGGGAGUAAAGGGAGCGUAGGCGGGGAUGCAAGUUGGGUGUCAAAACUAUCGGCUCAACCGAUAGUCGCACUCAAAACUGCAGCUCUUGAGUGAAGUAGAGGCAGGCGGAAUUCCUAGUGUAGCGGUGAAAUGCGUAGAUAUUAGGAGGAACACCAGUGGCGAAGGCGGCCUGCUGGGCUUUUACUGACGCUGAUGCUCGAAAGCGCGGGUAUCGAACAGGAUUAGAUACCCCUGUAGUC